AAAUGUAUGUUGACGUAUUCUGAAAGGGAUACUUCUUCGGACAAUAUACAAGGUGCUGCAUGGUUGUCGUCAGCUCGUGCCGUGAGGUGUCGGGUUAAGUCCCAUAACGAGCGCAACCCUAUCAUUAGUUGCCAUCAGGUCAAGCUGGGGACUCUAAUGAAACUGCCUACGCAAGUAGUGAGGAAGUGGGGAUGACGUCAAAUCAGCACGGCCCUUACGUCCAGGGCUACACACGUGCUACAAUGGCCGGUACAAAGGGCAGCUACCUGGUGACAGGAUGCUAAUCUCAAAAGCCGGUCUCAGUUCGGAUCGGAGUCUGCAACCCGACUCCGUGAAGUUGGAAUCGCUAGUAAUCGUGGAUCAGCAUGCCACGGUGAAUACGUUCCCGGGCCUU
Molecule: ribosomal RNA, 394 nt
Filed under: uncultured Sphingobacteriales bacterium
Lineage: Bacteria; Pseudomonadati; Bacteroidota; Sphingobacteriia; Sphingobacteriales
Description: bacterial SSU rRNA
Rfam family: Bacterial small subunit ribosomal RNA
Source: RNAcentral